RNAcentral lists this long non-coding RNA (3838 nucleotides) under Medicago truncatula (barrel medic). RNAcentral describes it as "long non-coding RNA (MTRU_LNC007130)". Lineage: Eukaryota; Viridiplantae; Streptophyta; Magnoliopsida; Fabales; Fabaceae. The record is from RNAcentral.
UAUGCGUUCAAUGUGUGGUUGAUCUAGGCUACUAGAUGGAGUAGGGGAUGACGACGGUGGCUGAAUAGGGGCCUUACUUGGGGUAGGUGGAUGAUGGGGAGGAUGUUUAUUGUGAUGAUGAUCUAGACAAAGAGAAUGAAUAUCAUAGGAAGAUGGUGGAUAAGCAGGAGCAGGGGUUGGGGUAGGUGGGUGACGAGGACGUGGUCUGCGUUCAAUGUGUGGAUGAUCUAGGUUAUUAUAUGGAAUGGGGGAUUGAGACGGUGGCUGAAUAGGGCCCUUUUUUGGGGUGGAUGGGUGAUGGGGAGGAUGUUUAUUGUGAUGAUGAUCUAGACUAAGAGAAUGAAUACCAUAGGAAGAUGAUGGAUGAGCAGGAGUAGGGGUUGGGGUAGGUGGGUGACUAGGAUGAGGUCUGCGUUCAAUGUGUGGAUGAUCUAGGCUCUUAGAUGGAAUGGGGGAUGGAGACGGUGGCUGAAUAGGGGCCUUUCUUGGGGUAGGUGGGUGAUGGGAAGGAUGUUUAUUAUGAUGAUUAUCUAGACUAAGAGAAUGAAUAUCAUAGGAAGAUGGUGGAUGAGCGGGAGCAGGGGUUGGGGUAGGUGGGUGAUGAGGAUGACUGUGGUGGUGAGUACUGACCUCUAUAGCAAGAACGGCCAAAUAACUCACUUGGAGUAAGGCUAACACUAAGACUAGGACAUUGGCCAUGUCUCAAUGCAAGAAAAAGUAGCCUAAAGAGAGGUGGGAGAGUGAUAUUGAUAUCUUGGAAGUGUUCAAAAGAGUGUAUUUAUAGGAGUUAGUGCGUAGAAUAAUUUCAAUAUUUUAUUAUAAACUUAGUCAAAGUCAAAAGAUUUUUAAAAGAUGUAAAUUUAAAAUUAAUUAUUCUAUAUUUUAAUAUUAUUAUUAUUAUUAUUAUUAUUAUUAUUAUUAAUAAAGAUUAACAUACAUGCAUAAUAAUAUGUUAAAAAAUGUAAGUUGAAUACUUUAAUCAAUAUUAUUAUAUAUUUAAUAUAUAUUUUAUGACAUUUUGAAUCCUAAUAAUUAUAUAAUUAAUAAACCAUUUAAGGGUAUUUUUUUCAAUAAUCUUUUUAUAUAGUCACAACUUUUACCAAGAAAAAAUUUAUGUUAUUAAAGUUUGAAAGAAACUUAAGAUGAUGAUUGAAAAGUUUUAGUAUUAUUUUACUAAUUAAUCUUUUAUUUGCUUUUUUCAUUAUUAUUACUAGUUGGAAUGUCGAUGAUGCCUCUUGAUGCAUGUCAUCUCUCCUUACUUAUAAAAAAAUAAAAAAUUCAUUAUUAUUAUCAAUCACAAAAAUUAAAAUAAACUAUUUUUUAAAUGAGUUGACAGUGAAUAAUAAUACAUUUUGACUAACAUAAUUUAUUACAUUAAUAUAUGGUUUAAUAAACAUAUAAAAAUAAUUUUUUAUGAAUUAAUUAAAUUCAUAUGAUUGAAUAGAAUAAACAUAUUAAAAAAUUGUUUUAUGUCUAUGUAUUAUUUUUUUUGUAGUGGUCGGGAUUUCAACCUCAGACCUUGCAUAUACUAUAGAUUGUCCAUACCAAUUGAGAUAAACUCACAAGGAUUGUCCAUGUAUAGAAUAUAAGUAUUAUAUUAUUUUUAUAUUCUUAAUUGUGGAUACAAUUUUGUUUUCUUCAAGAAAGUGGAUAUUUUCCAGUUUGUACUUCCUUUCCUUUUUGGUUAAUAUAUUUUGAAAGAUGUAGAAAGCGUCAUUCUAAUUUUAUUUUAUUUUAUUUUAUUUUUAAAAACGUAUAUCACAUUCAGUUGUGCGUCAAAAAUUUGUAUUUUCCAACAUCGAUUAGUGCAUAUAUUAUAGUGCGUGCCAAAAAUAAAUUUUCCUUUUGUAAAAACUAACAUAUAUUUUCUAGAUAUAGUUAAUUAUUAUAUUUUAAUCAAAAUAGUAUAUUUUGUUCAACAAAAGGGAAAGGGAAACUAUAUUUAAUAAGGUGGAGCUAAUGUCCAUAUUUAGAACUGUCUCAAGUGAGAUUGUAACCAUCUCUAUUUUGAUUACAAUGUCAAACUUUUAUCACAAACAGAAAAACCAUAUUAAAUUUUGUUUAUCCCAUAAAAUUAAAAUCACUAGUCAAAUGAUAAAUUAUCUUCACAAAAUUAUAAUGAAUUCAAUUGGUAUUACGGAUCAACACCUUAGUACGAAUUGAUUAUUGUAACCUUGAGCGCCAACAAUUCGAUGGAAAACUAUUUACCUUCUGAUUUUCUCUUUCUGGAUUCUCUCUUGGUGUCUCUCCAUCAAAGAAGCUACAAGAAUACUAUCAUAGUUAAUUGGAAACUCUAUACAGCGCCUUGGGUCAAAAUUAAUUCAUAAAGUUCGGUCAUUAGAACGCAUGCUUCUUGUAAAGGCAUUUUCCGAGAUGAUUUGGGCCCUUUUUUGGGGUUGAUCUGCUUACAAUUUGGGCAGCCUAUCUAUUUUUAAAUGUGAAAUAAACGAGUACAUUUGGGCUAUGGAGUAUACAGGUCAACAUGGUUGCUGGAGUUAAUUAUUUGAGAGUGACCCAUCUACUGAUAUUUUGAUAUUAAAGAAUCUCGUUACUAUUCCUAUCAGCCAUCAGAACCGAUGGCACAAUUGCCUUCACUUAGGCCUACAACUUGUAUCUGCCAACAUCUAUCGUAAAUUCAAUGGCUAUGCCAACAAGUUCUUCAAUAUGUGUCAUUCUUUUCAAGAUAUGUUUGGUUCGAUUCUGUCCUCUAUUUGUAGUGAUUUUUUUUUUGGGAUAUGAAGGAUUCCCCAUUGAUUGCUAGCUUUAGAUUAUAAUCAUUUUAAGCUUUCCUAUUCUCGUUCGAGUGUUUCAGUUCCGUCCCCACUCUUGCAUAUACUUUUCUACUUUUUAGCGAAUACUAAUAUCGAAGAAAGCUUGUGUAUUAAAAUUUAUAAUUUUUACUUCAUUUAAAGGAUUGUAAAGAGGAAUUACUUUUGAAAACUGUGUGAGGAGUAGCAUAAUUAUAAUAACAAAGAUAAAACAUUUCUAUAUGAUCAAACAUAUAUUUGAAAAAUUAAGUGUAGACUUGUGACGAAAUAUUGAAUUCCACACACAUAAACUUAAUUUCGGUGAAAUAAAUUUUUAAAUAAAUCAAAAGGAAAAAAUACAACAAUGCUACUAAUGAUAAAAUAAAAUAAAAUAAAACACACAAAACUAAGAACAAUAAUUUUAUUUAAAUUUUUUUCUUACAAGAAACAUUAAUUUAUUAAUAUCACUCAUUAUCUGAGACACUACAAAGUUUCUAUUAAAAAAAUUAAUAAGAUGCUGGUUUAACAGGAGCUGGGGUUGGUGGGUGAUGAGGAUGAGGUGUGUGGUGUUCAAUGUGUGGAUGAUCUAGACCGUUGGAUAGAAUGAGGGAUGAAGACGGUGGCUGAACAGGGGAAUUUCUUGGGGUAGAUGGGUGAUGGGGAGGAUGUUUAUUGUGAUGAUGAUCUAGACGAAGAGAAUGACUAUCCACAGAAGAUGGUGGUUGAACAGGAGCAUGGGUUGAUGGGUGACGAGGACGAGGACGACGUAUGCGUUCAAUGUGUGGUUGAUCUAGGCUACUAGAUGGAGUAGGGGAUGACGACGGUGGCUGAAUAGGGGCCUUACUUGGGGUAGGUGGAUGAUGGGGAGGAUGUUUAUUGUGAUGAUGAUCUAGACAAAGAGAAUGAAUAUCAUAGGAAGAUGGUGGAUAAGCAGGAGCAGGGGUUGGGGUAGGUGGGUGACGAGGACGUGGUCUGCGUUCAAUGUGUGGAUGAUCUAGGUUAUUAUAUGGAAUGGGGGAUUGAGACGGUGGCUGAAUAGGGCCCUUUUUUGGGGUGGAUGGGUGAUGGGGAGGAUGUUUAUUGUGAUGAUG